Long non-coding RNA from Rhipicephalus sanguineus (brown dog tick), 597 nucleotides. RefSeq lists it as uncharacterized. The record is from RefSeq and is a predicted model, not a curated record. The transcript is spliced from 5 exons. Lineage: Eukaryota; Metazoa; Arthropoda; Arachnida; Ixodida; Ixodidae.
UUAGCUUACGGUUAGGCAGGUAGGUAGCUUGUCAGGGGUUGUGUUCACGGGCGGACUCGACGCCGGGAUGCUCGUGGCGCUCCCGCGGCCGCCAUUUCGUGCCAGACUUCUGGUGCGUAAUGGGGGUUUUCGCGGGCCGCAAAGCGGCGUCCCGGUGUAAUUGCCUCGUCGGCUUGUCCCCACACUUCAAGAUACUGGCAACGUUUGAACUUCAAGUCUGCACAACGCGUCGCGUCGGGGAGCUGCUACGGGAGGAGCGCAGCUUCAACUUGGCUGCUAGACCAGAGUGCACAUGGACCAGCCGUGGCUUCGCGCUCAAGCGUUAUUCGAGCGCUGACGUACUGACACGCCCCGUGCCACACCGGCGUAUCUUGCGCACUGUAUAUCGCCGACGGGAGUCCUGAUGGCGGACGUGCUCCCGGCAUUGGAUCGAGAGCGCAGACUGUCUUCACACGUCCCCUGCGCCACAACGGCAGAUCUUCCUGGCGGGUAUCCUCCUGACACUGCCUCAACUCUACAAACUUUGUGCCGCCGGGUCUAGCAACAGUAGAGGAGGUCAUCGUCAACGAGUUUCAAUGCUGGCAACGCAUCGGGCAC